RNAcentral lists this precursor RNA (580 nucleotides) under Daphne gemmata. RNAcentral describes it as "partial transfer RNA-Leu(UAA)". The stretch from base 1 to 167 matches the Rfam family "Group I catalytic intron", at positions 27 to 158 of the family's 253-position model. Lineage: Eukaryota; Viridiplantae; Streptophyta; Magnoliopsida; Malvales; Thymelaeaceae. The record is from RNAcentral.
UUGGAAACCUACUAAGUGAGAACUUUCAAAUUCAGAGAACCCCUGGAAUUAAAAAUGGGCAAUCCUGAGCCAAAUCCUGUUUUACGAAAAUAAAGAAAAAUAAAGAAAGGUUCGGAAAGAAAGAAUUUAAAUAAAAAAGGGAUAGGUGCAGAGACUCAAUGGAAGCUGUUCUAACAAAUGGGGUUUGACUACCUUUGCGUUAGCAAAGGAAUCCUUCUAUCGAAACUACAGAAAGGAUAAAAGAUAAACCUAUACGCAUACCUAAAGGUAAUAAAAAACUGUCUAAAAAAAAAAAGACGACCCAAACCCGUAUUUAUAUAUUUUUUUAUGAAAAAUAUAAAGAAUUGUUGUGAAUUCAUAUUAAUUCCAAAUUGAAGAAGGAAUCGAAUACAACAUUCAUUAAUAAAAUAAUUUACCCCAUAGUUUGAUAAAUCUUUUGAACAAUUGGUUAAUCAGACGAGAAUAAAGAUAGAGUCCCGCUUUACAUGUCAAUAUCAAUGCUGACAACAAUGAAAUUUAUAGUAAGAGGAAAAUCCGUCGACUUUUAAAAUCGUGAGGGUUCAAGUCCCUCUAUCCCCAA